This 484-nucleotide ribosomal RNA is filed under the name uncultured bacterium. Its description in RNAcentral is "partial 16S ribosomal RNA". It matches the Rfam family "Bacterial small subunit ribosomal RNA", at positions 29 to 523 of the family's 1533-position model. The record is from RNAcentral.
AGUGAACGCUGGCGGCGUGCUUAACACAUGCAAGUCGAACGAGAACGGAUUAUAGCUUGCUAUAAUUGUCAGCUAAGUGGCGCACGGGUGAGUAAUGUAUAGGUAAUAUGCCUCUUACUGAGGGAUAACAAAUGGAAACGUUUGCUAAUACCUUAUACUCCUUAUUAACAGAAGUUAAUAAGGGAAAGAUUUAUUGGUAAGAGAUUAGCCUGUAUUGUAUCAGUUAGUUGGUGGGGUAAUGGUUUACCAAGACGAUGACACAUAACUGGUUUGAGAAGAUGAUCAGUCACACUGGAACUGAGACACGGUCCAGACUCCUACGGGAGGCAGCAGAGGGGAAUAUUGCACAAUGGACGAAAGUCUGAUGCAGCAACGCCGCGUGGAGGAUGACACAUUUCGGUGCGUAAACUCCUUUUAUAUGAGAAGAUAAUGACGGUAUUAUAUGAAUAAGCACCGGCUAACUCCGUGCCAGCCGCCGCAGUAA